RNAcentral lists this ribosomal RNA (1453 nucleotides) under uncultured organism. Its description in RNAcentral is "SSU rRNA". It matches the Rfam family "Bacterial small subunit ribosomal RNA". The record is from RNAcentral.
GGCAGGCCUAACACAUGCAAGUCGAGCGGUAGCACAGAGAGCUUGCUCUCGGGUGACGAGCGGCGGACGGGUGAGUAAUGUCUGGGAAACUGCCUGAUGGAGGGGGAUAACUACUGGAAACGGUAGCUAAUACCGCAUAAUGUCGCAAGACCAAAGUGGGGGACCUUCGGGCCUCAUGCCAUCAGAUGUGCCCAGAUGGGAUUAGCUAGUAGGUGGGGUAACGGCUCACCUAGGCGACGAUCCCUAGCUGGUCUGAGAGGAUGACCAGCCACACUGGAACUGAGACACGGUCCAGACUCCUACGGGAGGCAGCAGUGGGGAAUAUUGCACAAUGGGCGCAAGCCUGAUGCAGCCAUGCCGCGUGUGUGAAGAAGGCCUUCGGGUUGUAAAGCACUUUCAGCGGGGAGGAAGGCGAUAAGGUUAAUAACCUUGUCGAUUGACGUUACCCGCAGAAGAAGCACCGGCUAACUCCGUGCCAGCAGCCGCGGUAAUACGGAGGGUGCAAGCGUUAAUCGGAAUUACUGGGCGUAAAGCGCACGCAGGCGGUCUGUCAAGUCGGAUGUGAAAUCCCCGGGCUCAACCUGGGAACUGCAUUCGAAACUGGCAGGCUAGAGUCUUGUAGAGGGGGGUAGAAUUCCAGGUGUAGCGGUGAAAAUGCGUAUAGAUCUGGAGGAAUACCCGGUGGCGAAGGCGGCCCCCUGGACAAAGACUGACGCUCAGGUGGGAAAGCGUGGGGAGCAAACAGGAUUAGAUACCCUGGUAGUCCACGCCGUAAACGAUGUCGAUUUGGAGGUUGUGCCCUUGAGGCGUGGCUUCCGGAGCUAACGCGUUAAAUCGACCGCCUGGGGAGUACGGCCGCAAGGUUAAAACUCAAAUGAAUUGACGGGGGCCCGCACAAGCGGUGGAGCAUGUGGUUUAAUUCGAUGCAACGCGAAGAACCUUACCUGGUCUUGACAUCCACAGAACUUUCCAGAGAUGGAUUGGUGCCUUCGGGAACUGUGAGACAGGUGCUGCAUGGCUGUCGUCAGCUCGUGUUGUGAAAUGUUGGGUUAAGUCCCGCAACGAGCGCAACCCUUAUCCUUUGUUGCCAGCGGUCCGGCCGGGAACUCAAAGGAGACUGCCAGUGAUAAACUGGAGGAAGGUGGGGAUGACGUCAAGUCAUCAUGGCCCUUACGACCAGGGCUACACACGUGCUACAAUGGCAUAUACAAAGAGAAGCGACCUCGCGAGAGCAAGCGGACCUCAUAAAGUAUGUCGUAGUCCGGAUUGGAGUCUGCAACUCGACUCCAUGAAGUCGGAAUCGCUAGUAAUCGUAGAUCAGAAUGCUACGGUGAAUACGUUCCCGGGCCUUGUACACACCGCCCGUCACACCAUGGGAGUGGGUUGCAAAAGAAGUAGGUAGCUUAACCUUCGGGAGGGCGCUUACCACUUUGUGAUUCAUGACUGGGGUGAA